UACGUAGGGUGCAAGCGUUGUCCGGAAUUAUUGGGCGUAAAGAGCUCGUAGGCGGCUUGUUGCGUCUGCCGUGAAAAAUUCACAGCUCAACUGUGGACGUGCGGUGGAUACGGGCAGGCUUGAGUUCGGUAGGGGAGACUGGAAUUCCUGGUGUAGCGGUGAAAUGCGCAGAUAUCAGGAGGAACACCGGUGGCGAAGGCGGGUCUCUGGGCCGAUACUGACGCUGAGGAGCGAAAGCGUGGGGAGCGAACAGG
Molecule: ribosomal RNA, 254 nt
Filed under: uncultured bacterium
Lineage: Bacteria
Description: partial 16S ribosomal RNA
Rfam family: Bacterial small subunit ribosomal RNA
Source: RNAcentral